Molecule: long non-coding RNA, 251 nt
Filed under: Gossypium barbadense (sea-island cotton)
Lineage: Eukaryota; Viridiplantae; Streptophyta; Magnoliopsida; Malvales; Malvaceae
Description: long non-coding RNA (GBAR_LNC004645)
Source: RNAcentral
UGUAAGACCAUGUCUGGGACAUGGCAUCGGCAUCUUACCCUUUUGUAUGAGGCUUAUCGGGUAUCCAUUUAUUUUUCCAACUAGUUUAACAGGUAAUUUAAAGAUUAUAUCAUGAUUGAGAAAAGUUAUGAUUACGUUGCAAGUGGUACAGGUACCUACACAAAACUCAUAAGAAUGAGCUGGAGUUACGUAUAUGAAUAGUAAGGAUGAAAUGAGUAAGUUAAGUCUUUAGUCAUUCAAGAAUCUUGUGC